Molecule: ribosomal RNA, 429 nt
Filed under: Triticum aestivum (bread wheat)
Lineage: Eukaryota; Viridiplantae; Streptophyta; Magnoliopsida; Poales; Poaceae
Description: partial small subunit ribosomal RNA
Source: RNAcentral
AUGAAUCUACUGAGUUGGAACUGCCGGGGUGGGGGGAAUCCCCGGAUAGUUCGUGAUGUUGCGACGUUGGUGCGGCGCAUUCUCCCCAUGUUUGUGUUUUUGUGCGAAACUCGACAAAAAUCGAGUAAGAUGAAAAGAAUUAGAGGACAUCUCGGCCUUCACGGUUUUUUGGGUGUGGACAGUAAUGGAUUAAGCGGUGGACUAGCAUUGUUUUGUCACGAAUCAUACCAAGUAACAGUUCUAGGAACAGAUGACAGGUUCAUUGAUAUUUCUGUUAGCUCUCCCGGCGGGGAGCAAUGGAGAUUAACUGCAGUUUAUAGUGAACCUAUGGUUGAAAACAUGCACUUGAUGUGGACUAAACUGCAAACUUUGAAGCAAGCUUCGGACCUGCCUUGGGUAGUAAUCAGAGACUUCAAUGAGGCGAUGUAG